This 465-nucleotide ribosomal RNA is filed under the name Vreelandella stevensii. Its description in RNAcentral is "partial 16S ribosomal RNA". It matches the Rfam family "Bacterial small subunit ribosomal RNA", at positions 338 to 795 of the family's 1533-position model. Lineage: Bacteria; Pseudomonadati; Pseudomonadota; Gammaproteobacteria; Oceanospirillales; Halomonadaceae. The record is from RNAcentral.
CCUACGGGUGGCAGCAGUGGGGAAUAUUGGACAAUGGGGGCAACCCUGAUCCAGCCAUGCCGCGUGUGUGAAGAAGGCCCUCGGGUUGUAAAGCACUUUCAGUGAGGAAGAACGCCUGGUGGUUAAUACCCAUCAGGAAAGACAUCACUCACAGAAGAAGCACCGGCUAACUCCGUGCCAGCAGCCGCGGUAAUACGGAGGGUGCGAGCGUUAAUCGGAAUUACUGGGCGUAAAGCGCGCGUAGGUGGCUUGAUAAGCCGGUUGUGAAAGCCCCGGGCUCAACCUGGGAACGGCAUCCGGAACUGUCAAGCUAGAGUGCAGGAGAGGAAGGUAGAAUUCCCGGUGUAGCGGUGAAAUGCGUAGAGAUCGGGAGGAAUACCAGUGGCGAAGGCGGCCUUCUGGACUGACACUGACACUGAGGUGCGAAAGCGUGGGUAGCAAACACGAUUAGAUACCCUGGUAGUC